Molecule: non-coding RNA, 164 nt
Filed under: bovine gut metagenome
Description: Lysine riboswitch
Rfam family: Lysine riboswitch aptamer
About the family: Riboswitches are metabolite binding domains within certain messenger RNAs that serve as precision sensors for their corresponding targets. Allosteric rearrangement of mRNA structure is mediated by ligand binding, and this results in modulation of gene expression.
Source: RNAcentral
UAAAAGUAGAGGUGCGGUGUUCAUCAGUAGUUUGCGUGCAAGCCGUCGCAGGGCGUUGCGUGAGCGAAAGGGGAGGCUGCCGAAGAGCCUGAGGCGCAAGGGUAUCUGGCUUGGCAGAGAACAUCUGCCCGGUUGUCACUUAAACUAAGUGGAGGGCUACUGCA